GACGAACGCUGGCGGCGUGCUUAACACAUGCAAGUCGAACGGAAAGGCCCUGCUUUUGUGGGGUGCUCGAGUGGCGAACGGGUGAGUAACACGUGAGUAACCUGCCCUUUACUUUGGGAUAACUUCAGGAAACUGGGGCUAAUACCGGAUAGGAUCUCCUGCUGCAUGGUGGGGGUUGGAAAGUUUCGGCGGUUGGGGAUGGACUCGCGGCUUAUCAGCUUGUUGGUUGGGUAGUGGCUUACCAAGGCUUUGACGGGUAGCCGUCAUGAGAGGGUGACCGGCAAAAUUGGGACUGAGAUACGGACCAGACUACUACGGGAGGCAGCAGUGGGGAAUAGUGCACAAUGGGAGGAAGCCUGAUGCAGCAAAGCCGCGUGCGGGAUGACGGCCUUCGGGUUGUAAACCGAUUUAGCAUGUGAAGAAGAGUGAGUGACGGUAAUGGGUAAAGAAGCACCGGCUAACUACGUG
Molecule: ribosomal RNA, 468 nt
Filed under: uncultured bacterium
Lineage: Bacteria
Description: partial 16S ribosomal RNA
Rfam family: Bacterial small subunit ribosomal RNA
Source: RNAcentral